Saccostrea cuccullata (small rock oyster) is the source of this 2410-nucleotide long non-coding RNA. RefSeq lists it as uncharacterized. Lineage: Eukaryota; Metazoa; Mollusca; Bivalvia; Ostreida; Ostreidae. The transcript has 3 exons. The record is from RefSeq and is a predicted model, not a curated record.
AGGCAAUUUAGCCACAUAUGAUCCACAUAUGCAUUACCUUUCAUAUGAGGAUCAUAUGUGGAUCAUAUGAGAAUCAUAUGUAUAUACAAUCAUAUGAGAAUCAUAUGUGGCAAAUCAUAUGAGAAUCAUAUGAUUACACAUAUGUAAAUCAUAUGAAGUAAUAUACAUAUGAUUCUCAUAUGAAAGAUCCUGCAUAUGAGAAUCAUAUGAAUAUUCUGACAAUAAUCAUAUGAGAAUCAUAUGAAACUGAUCAUAUGAGAAUCAUAUGAAACAAUGUUCACUAAUUUGUCCUUGUUAUACUCAGGUAAAAUUCAUACGAAUGUUUUGACAGUGAUCAUAUGAGAAUCAUAUGAAACGGUGAUCAUAUGAGAAUCAUAUGAAACAGUGUUCACUUAUCUGUCCUUGUUAUACUGAAGUAAAAUUGCAAUUUCAAUAAUAUAUAUCUAAAGAUAAAUUUAAAUGUACAUUAAUUCAAAAGAAUUUGUUAGUAAUUAAUUAUAUGUAAAGUUCUACUCUGUUUACUCUAACCCCCCCCCCUUCCUUCUAAAAAAAACCUUUCACAAUUUUUUUUUCUGUUAUAAUGCAUUUCCCAGACAAAAUAGAUAAAGAAUAAAUUAAUUUGCUUUUCAUUUUAAAUCUUUUGGGUUUGGCUAAGUACAAUUAAAAUAAUUCCGUAUUUUUCUCCGGGCGGGUUUUGUCUUUUAUCGGAUGAAAAUAUACGUCAUUUUUUACGUCACUGCUGGAGCAGACGUGUUGGGUGUUUGGAAAAGGCAAGUGAUCUCCUAACAAUAUUAUUUUAAAGACUUUUGAUUCAUAUUGUUUCAAUAUCAUUUCAUUAUGGUGCGUAUGAACUUUCUAUAUAAUAUUCUUAUUACUUCAGUACUUGCAUGCAUUUCGUAAACCUAACGUUCGUGAUCUGUAAGUAAGUUUGGAUAAAAUUUGUUUCUGAAUGAAUGUAAACAUUACAUGUUAGGCUAAAGGCAUUACUACUUUUUAAAACUUGAAUUUGUUUUCGUUUUGUUACGUACUGAUAUGAAAGUGAAAGUAGAAACCUUGUAUGUCAGUUGGCGUUAUGUAUGUUGAGAUCGGUAUUAAGUCCGGAUUCCUUCUUCAACUUAAUGACAAAUGUUUGUAUUUAUGGCCUAUAGAUGCAUUCGGCAACUUGAGUUCAGUGUCACAGUGCUGUUUUUUUUUUCAGUCCAAAGAGCCCGAAGCUGAUAAGACUGGCGAUUGAUCCUGAAGCUGAUUUGACAGACGAUUGCAUCAUCACAAUAUUGAAGGUUCAAUAUACAUGCAGUCAGCCUCUCAUAAGAUAAAGAACAAAUCCCAAGAUCCAAGGCUUGCUUCAAAGUUAAGAGACCAUUCUGUGCCACAAAGAAAUUGUUCAGGAAGAGGAGAAGUGGUGGAUAUGCAUUUUUGGUACGGUACAGUUCAAAGAGAUUUUCAAAAUGGUCAUGGAAGAUCAAAGGGAGGACAACUGAAAAAAUUGAAAGAUACAGAAGGAAAAAGAACAAGGAAAUAUAUGAAAUAAUUAUGAAAUGGGGAGGAUGUACACAAUCUUGUCUGAAUUUGAGCUGUGAAAAUUUCCCAUAUUCUUAUUGUAUGCUGGAAUAAUCAAUAACUUGAUUUUUCAUAAAUUUACAAUAGAGAAUACAUGACAAAUGUUAUUGCUGAUAUUUCAAUUUUGCUUUGGACACUUUCAUGUCAUAUGGUAUUUUUAUACAUGAACUAAUUAUGUUAUUCAUUUGUACAUGUACAGUAUACAUGUUUAACUACUAAAUCAUUUUGCUGAAAUCUUAUAAUUUGUACUCAUGUUAGAAUAUGUUAAAUACAUGUAUCGACAAAUGCUACUGAUUUGUUUGUAUAUUUUCUUGUUUAGAAUGUACACUGUGAAAAAUAAGUUAUUUCUCUUGAUGAAAAUAAUUUUAUCAAAAAAGUUGUGUAAGCAUUUUAAGAUAUUAUAAAAUAUUUAACCAAUGAAGAUAGAUCAUUGUAAUGUAAUGAAUUUUCAUCUAAAGCAGAAAUAUCUGAUUUUUAAAUGUGUACAAGAAUGUGAAAAAUAUUGAAAAAGAACACACAAGUGUUUCAUAUGAUUUACAUAUGAUGUCCUUUUCAUAUGAUUCUCAUAUGUAAAUGGCUUGAAACACACAUAAGUGUUUCAUAUGAUUUACAUAUGACACCCUUUUCAUAUGAUUCUCAUAUGUAAAUGGCUUGAAACACACUUAAAUCAUUCAUAUGAAAAUCAUAUGUAGUUAUUUUCAUAUGAUUCACAUAUGUGGAUCAUAUGUAAAUCAUAUGAUUUGCUUCAUAUGAUUCACAUAUGAUGCCCUUUUUCUAUGAUUCUCAUAUGAAACCAAUCAUAUGAGAAUCAUAUGAUACUCAUAUGAGAAUCAUAUGUGGCUAAGUUGCC